AAAUUGAAGAGUUUGAUCAUGGCUCAGAUUGAACGCUGGCGGCAGGCCUAACACAUGCAAGUCGAGCGGUAGCACAGAGAGCUUGCUCU
This 89-nucleotide ribosomal RNA is filed under the name Escherichia coli. RNAcentral's name for it is "partial 16S ribosomal RNA". It matches the Rfam family "Bacterial small subunit ribosomal RNA", at positions 1 to 86 of the family's 1533-position model. The record is from RNAcentral. RNAcentral also lists the same sequence under 6 other names. Lineage: Bacteria; Pseudomonadati; Pseudomonadota; Gammaproteobacteria; Enterobacterales; Enterobacteriaceae.